GGAGUAGUAGAAACUAGAGUAAAGGAGCACAAAGCCAAGAAAAUACUGGACAAGGUGGCCAAGGAUUGGAAACCCCAUAAACAGAAGGAAUUGAAAAAUUUCCUUGCUGUAAUAAGGUGAUGUCAUGGUAGUAGUAGAAACUAGAGUAAAGGAGCACAAAGCCAAGAAAAUACUAGACAAGGUGGCCAAGGAUUGGAAGGUGCAAUGCAAUUAUUCUAAGGCUACUAAUGGAAGAAUCUGGUUACUGUGGAAGUCUUACAUUCAAGUACAUAUCUCUUCUAUUACAGAUCAACUUAUUCACUGUUUUAUUGAUGACACAAGAACACAAAUCAAAAUCCAGUUUAG
Molecule: long non-coding RNA, 345 nt
Filed under: Nicotiana benthamiana
Lineage: Eukaryota; Viridiplantae; Streptophyta; Magnoliopsida; Solanales; Solanaceae
Description: long non-coding RNA (NBEN_LNC012061)
Source: RNAcentral